Rhinopithecus bieti (black snub-nosed monkey) is the source of this 580-nucleotide long non-coding RNA. The record is from Ensembl. Lineage: Eukaryota; Metazoa; Chordata; Mammalia; Primates; Cercopithecidae.
CAUGCUUUAACUAAUGAAUUAUGGUAGAAGACCUUUCUCACUUAUUUUCCGUCAGUCAAGCUAUAAUCAUGCUCAUUAAUUUGUGAUGUAAGAAAUUGAUUUUGUGGGAAAGUUUGUUUUUGUUUUUGUUGUUUUCAUCUUUUAGUGGGCAGAUCUUUGAAGAAGGCCUGGAGACGAGCAGCUGGCAGAGGCGGCUCCUUGAAAACGGAGCAGCAGUCAACCACAGUUGCCCCUCAGCCCUUCCACUGGUCCCAUGAGAGGAACAUGCAGAGAGAAAUGAGGCGGGGAGAAUUGGCUCACGUGUUGCCAGAUAAUGUCCCUUGAGAAGUCCCUGGACUGCUGAGACCUGUCCCACUGCCCAGUCCAUAGUCAGAGAGGCCCCAGUAUCCCCGUGCUGCUCACCACGAGCUCCCUGUGUUGCAACAGUAACUUGUGCCCCAGCACUUGCUCCCCCUAAGCUUCUUGGAAGUCUCCGUCUGACAGCCCUGUGUCUUUGCACAAUGUCUGGUUUGCCAUGAGGAUUUAAUAAGUAACUACCAAGUGAUAGGAUGAAUGUCUAUUUGUUGGAUUGUGCUGUGAG